UACAUGUGGGGCAAGCGUUGUUCGGAAUUACUGGGCAUAAAGGGUGCGUAGGCGGCUUGUUAAGUCACUGGUGAAAGUUUGCGGCCCAACCGUAAAAUUGCCUGUGAUACUGGCGAGCUUGAGUGCGUGAGGGGUAGGGGGAACGAGCAGUGUAGCGGUGAAAUGCGUAGAUAUCUGGAGGAACACCGGUGGCGAAGGCGGCAUCCUGGACCGACACUGACACUGAGGAGCGAAAGCCAGGGGAGCAAACAGG
Molecule: ribosomal RNA, 253 nt
Filed under: uncultured bacterium
Lineage: Bacteria
Description: partial 16S ribosomal RNA
Rfam family: Bacterial small subunit ribosomal RNA
Source: RNAcentral